This 211-nucleotide long non-coding RNA is filed under the name Capsicum annuum. RNAcentral describes it as "long non-coding RNA (CANN_LNC013568)". The record is from RNAcentral. Lineage: Eukaryota; Viridiplantae; Streptophyta; Magnoliopsida; Solanales; Solanaceae.
ACCCCCAGCUCAAGACACGAGAUACCACACAAACACAUAGUAAAGCACAGAAGCAGAUUACAUAACAUAAAUACGGCACCCAUAAGUAAUAUAAAACAGAGAAAAACAGAAGAAAGCACACAGAUUCGUAAUAAAACAUGGAACACGGAAGACGGAAUCAUAACAGGAAUAAAACCCCCACCAAGUAAUUUCCUACACUAGCGACCCAAAC